Anoplopoma fimbria (sablefish) is the source of this 634-nucleotide non-coding RNA. The record is from the annotation of a RefSeq genome assembly. NCBI's taxonomy places the organism in Eukaryota, Metazoa, Chordata, Actinopteri, Perciformes, Anoplopomatidae.
ACAAGAUUGAUCAGUCAGAGAACACAACAAGAUGAUCACCGUCUUCUGCAUAGCCCUUAAUGUCUUCAUGGUUUCAGGUUCCUCUCUCAGCGACCAAGUCCACCAGACUCCAGCUGAUAUGUACAACGAACCCGGAGAAAAUGCCAAAAUCAACUGCUCACACAGUAUUCAGAGCUAUGAUCGAAUCCUCUGGUACAGGCAAUUCAAGAAUAUGCAACUUCAGCUCCUGGGAUACAUGUAUGCAACUAGUGGAAACCCAGAGGCUGGACUGGGAGUGAAGAUAGAAGGGAGUGCAAAUAAAAAUCAGAUCUGCACACUAACAGUUGAAGGACUGGCCCUGAACAGCAGUGCGGUGUACUUUUGUGCUGCUAGGUUACACAGUGCUACAUAUCACUGCUCCUCAGUACAAAAACCUCCUCAUCACACAUUCUUUCUUCUCCGUAGAACAGCUCACAGCUCCUCACACCUGUGCUCCUCCCUCAGUUCCUCUCUCAGCGAGCAAGUCCACCAGACUCCAGCUGACAUGUACAACAAACCCGGAGAAAAUGCCAUAAUCAGCUGUUCGCACAGUAUUGACACCUACAAUCAAAUCCUCUGCUCACAGCCCCCUGCACCUGUGUUCAUCCUCUCAUAA